Molecule: long non-coding RNA, 173 nt
Organism: Syngnathus acus (greater pipefish)
Lineage: Eukaryota; Metazoa; Chordata; Actinopteri; Syngnathiformes; Syngnathidae
Exons: 3
Source: RefSeq, a predicted model, not a curated record
CUCCUAAGUCCCAAAGAUCUUUGUGUGAGAUGCAAGAUCGCUGGCCUGGAUUAACUUGGAUUUACUCAAAAGAAUUGGACUGGACAACUUUGCGUGAGGAGCUAGGUGAGGGGAACGACUCUUUCUGUAUUUCCGCGAGGGGGGGGACAGUCAUCGGGUAGUCGGUCCUCUCG